AGGUGAAAGGCCUGAGACGCAGAGGAAACCACUUCCGUUACACUGGAAAUUGUCCCAAGCAGCGGUAGGUAUGAAAGGGCAAACCUAGAGGAGUUGUCAUCAGAUCACGUAGGACUUUAAUCGUUGAACAAACGAACCUUUAAUAGCGGUUGCACCAUUUGGGUGUCCUGAUCCAACAUCGAGGUCGUAAACCCUAUUGUCGAUAGGAACUCUAGAAUAGGAUUGCGCUGUUAUCCCUAGGGUAACUUGUUCCGUUGAUCAAAAUUUUGGAUCAAUAAGUGAUGUUAUGGUUAUUUUGACUGGUUUGUCUAGAUUAAAAUCACUCGGAGGGUUUUUUGUACUCCGAGGUCACCCCAACCGAAAUUGCUAGUCCAUGUUAAGUUAUGUUUUAUCCCUUUGUGGUUGAAUUGUUUAACUUUUGGAAUAGUUAAUUAAAGCUCCAUAGGGUCUUCUCGUCUUAUUUUUUUAUUCCCGCCUCUUCACGGGAAGGUCAAUUUCACUGAUUGGAAGUAAGAGACAGUAAAACCCUCGUGUGGCCAUUCAUACAAGUCCUUAUUUGGAGAACAAGUGAUUAUGCUACCUUUGCACGGUCAGAAUACCGCGGCCGUUAAACUGGUGUCACUGGGCAGGCAUUGCCUCUAAUACUAGUAAUGCUAGAGGUGAUGUUUUUGGUAAACAGGCGGGGUUUGUGUUUGCCGAGUUCCUUUUACUUCUUUUAAUCUUUCCUUGGUGCACUCCUGUGUUGGCUUCUAUGUUUCAAU
RNAcentral lists this long non-coding RNA (761 nucleotides) under Sus scrofa (pig). RNAcentral's name for it is "lncRNA (ENSSSCG00005021146.1)". Lineage: Eukaryota; Metazoa; Chordata; Mammalia; Artiodactyla; Suidae. The record is from RNAcentral.